RNAcentral lists this ribosomal RNA (497 nucleotides) under uncultured bacterium. RNAcentral's name for it is "partial 16S ribosomal RNA". It matches the Rfam family "Bacterial small subunit ribosomal RNA", at positions 28 to 507 of the family's 1533-position model. The record is from RNAcentral.
GAUGAACGCUGGCGGCGUGCCUAAUACAUGCAAGUCGAGCGAACGGACGAGAAGCUUGCUUCUCUGAUGUUAGCGGCGGACGGGUGAGUAACACGUGGAUAACCUACCUAUAAGACUGGGAUAACUUCGGGAAACCGUAGCUAAUACCGGAUAAUAUUUUGAACCGCAUGGUUCAAAAGUGAAAGACGGUCUUGCUGUCACUUAUAGAUGGAUCCGCGCUGCAUUAGCUAGUUGGUAAGGUAACGGCUUACCAAGGCAACGAUGCAUAGCCGACCUGAGAGGGUGAUCGGCCACACUGGAACUGAGACACGGUCCAGACUCCUACGGGAGGCAGCAGUAGGGAAUCUUCCGCAAUGGGCGACAGCCUGACGGAGCAACGCCGCGUGAGUGAUGAAGGUCUUCGGAUCGUAAAACUCUGUUAUUAGGGAAGAACAUAUGUGUAAGUAACUGUGCACAUCUUGACGGUACCUAAUCAGAAAGCCACGGCUAACUACGUG